This is a long non-coding RNA of Symphalangus syndactylus (siamang), 609 nucleotides long. RefSeq lists it as uncharacterized. The record is from RefSeq and is a predicted model, not a curated record. NCBI's taxonomy places the organism in Eukaryota, Metazoa, Chordata, Mammalia, Primates, Hylobatidae.
GCAGACUGGGACUCCACUGCAGAGAGAAACUGGGCUGAGCCAGAAGGGCCCUGCAGGUGCUGCUCAGAGCAUCUUCCUCCACGAGAACUGCUGGCUUGGGCACCAGGAACUCUCGGCUCUGCGCUUUCUGUUCUUUGUAGCAUUUAAUCCUCACACCAGCUUGUGAAGUAGAUGUUCUUAUUACCUUUUACAGAACGUGGUUCAUUUGCAGUCCCAGCCCAUCGGGAGAGCAGCCUGGGAGUCUGAGGGCUCCAGUCCACCGGACAGGCUUGCCGGGACCUGGUAAGGCUGAAGUGGUGCAGAGGGGAGAGGCCAGGCCCAGAACCUCUUUUUCCGUCUUGUGUUCCCAGGCCGGCUUCAGAAAUAGAUGAGCAAGCCAGCAGACCAGCAGACGGACGGUGGAACGAUGCAGUAGAGAAAGAGAGAAGAGGAGGAACAUCUGAACGCGGAGAGGAGUUUGACUGGGGACAGUCAGAGAGGAGUCCGGCUGCUGGGCGCCUGACUCCAGGGGAAGAUCACCUUCCUACUCCAUAACCCCCUUCUGGCUCCUCAUCCUUCCUGCUAAAAGCUACCUCCACCAUUCAAUAAAACUUCGCAUUCAUCCUUCAA